RNAcentral lists this long non-coding RNA (710 nucleotides) under Rattus norvegicus (Norway rat). RNAcentral's name for it is "long non-coding RNA NONRATT020418". Lineage: Eukaryota; Metazoa; Chordata; Mammalia; Rodentia; Muridae. The record is from RNAcentral.
GAGUAAAGACUGCCAAACUACAGCUGGUAGAACAGCAAGUCUAACUGUUCCUUGGUGAGGAGUCUUCUGAGCUCAUGAACAAGCAUUCCUGGAGAUGACUAGGCCUAGAAACCUACUGCAGAAGCCUUCUGGGGACCAGGAACUUGGCUGUCUGAAAGCCAAAGGAUGAGCUCUGUCCCUUGCUGCAGUAUUUCUUUAUAUUUUGUGCUUGGUAGGGAAUGUUGAGUGACUGCACACUGGAUUCUGGGAACCUUUCUUCAUAGGAAAAGGGACUGUGGGGCCUGAGCCUAGGUGCUGGACUUUGGCUGCCAGAUGGUACUUGUACAUCAUCUGCUACUGUAGUGCAAAUUCAGAGCUGGCUGGAUCUAAGGUUGUGGGUAUAUGUUACCAGAUAGACCUCAGCCCACUCACUGGAGGGAGGUGUUUAAUGGGGAUUGGUACAUCAGGUGAACCUGGUGGCCUCUAGAAUAUCUUCCAAUCUGAGAUUGUCCUCAGUGCAUGUGCCCUUGCAGUUCUUGGUUUUUGGUGGCAAUGUGAGAGUGGCAUUCUCUCACUCUAAUAAACUUGGCACUUCUUUCAGUGUUUUCUUCUCAGAUUACUUAGUACUCACUGAACCAAGUUUACAAUGCAGAGUCUCAUAAGAACUCCAGCCUAUAUGGCAGUGUUAUGAAAAAACAUACAUGUACAGAUAAUAUCGCCUACUAGCUUCU